Long non-coding RNA from Mauremys reevesii (Reeves's turtle), 1963 nucleotides. RefSeq lists it as uncharacterized. The record is from RefSeq and is a predicted model, not a curated record. NCBI's taxonomy places the organism in Eukaryota, Metazoa, Chordata, Testudines, Geoemydidae. The transcript is spliced from 6 exons.
GAACAGCCGGCCACGCCUCGCGAGAAUGGCCUAAUCUAUGACCUUCCAAACAUGGCGGCGCCCCUAAGCAUUCCUGCCCAAACGAGACUUCGGCCAUAUUGGGUGUGGCACAGCUUCCUGCAUACCUCAGGGCGCACCUGCCUCAGCUGCGAUGUAAUACUCGGGCACUGACACCUCUCAGCUUUAGAUCUGACAGAAGGCAGGGCUACCAUUUGGAGGGACAACAGCUGAGCAGUGAAGGAGAGGAAAGAUUCCCCACAAAACGUGCUCCAAGAGUGGCAAUGGUUUGAAUAGAUCCUCAGCACCUGGAACCAACUAUUUCUCCUGCCCUUUGUAAGGGAUGUAGGGGUGGGGAGCACCCCUACAGCUAAGGUUGAGACACAGCGUUUAAGACCUGGAGGACAUCUAUUGCAGAGCUGGUGUGGAUUUUUCUCCCCCUCGUCAUAGGUACAUUAUAAAAAGAGAACUGUAUUUGAAAAGCAGGCAUGUGAUAACAUGCAGCUAUAGAAUCAUAGAAAUGCAGGGGUCAAGAGGUCAUCUAGUCCAGCUCCCUGCACUAAGGCAACACAGAGGAGGAAAAAAAAAUCCCUGCCAACAAAGACAAAACAGAUAUCUCUAGUGGGGAAAAGGAGCAUGAUCGUGAUUAAUUCCCUCCUGACUCCUGAGAAAGGUGCUUGUGAUGUCAUAAACCACUGAAGGGGAGAGCAGUAUUCUCAAACUCAGGGCAAGCAGGUGGGACAAGCAGGAACUGCUGCAGAGCCCCCUGCUGGGAGGACUAGGCCACCACUGCGAGGAGACACGGGAUCAGGACGGCAGGAUCCAUCACUGUCACCAUACAGCUCCAGUCAUCUGCCAGAGCGAGAGGAAUGGUUUGAACUGUCCCUACUGAGGAAAGGAACUCAGGCAAGGUCCUAGGCUGUGAACGCUUCUUCAGCGUACUGGGUUGAACCUGAGAUUCAGCUUCAUCUGUUGGAGUGAUUGGAGGGAAGGGGAGUUAAGAUGACAGAAUCCUGAUCCAUUUAUCUAGUUAUCAAUGGAAGGGAUGUUUUUCAGCAACCUCCAGCAAGAGAUGGCAAAUGUCCAUCAUCAGAAGCCCAGGACACCACAGACCAGGGCACACCAACUCAAAGCAGCACCAGACCCAGCCAGAACAACAGACACAAAACCUGCAGACAUAUCCCCACUAAUACAAUGAUCAACACCCCCACCCCCACCACACAAAACACCCUUCAAGAUCCAUGGGUCCUACUCAUCCAGUGCACUAAAUGCCUCAACAACUAUGCGGUGAAACUAGUAAUUAAGCUCUCAAAUGAACUCACAGGAAAAAGAGAAAAAUACCAGAUCACCUGUUGGCAAACACUUUUCACAAAGCCACCACUCUAUAUCUGACCUAUCAGUCCUCAUCCUCAAAGGAAACCUGCGCAAUACUUUCAAAAGAUGAGCCUGGGAGCUUAAAUUCAUACCUUUGCUAGACACUAAAAAUCAUGGUCUUAAUAAAGAGACACUAAUUUAUGUCUUAUUACAAUCUGUAACCCACUAACCCCCGUUUAGUCUUAUGACUUCAGGGGUGUUAAUAGCCCACUUCACCUUGAAUGGUCCCUUAGAAUAUAUCAUAAGUAGUUAGCAUAAACUAUCUGUUCAAUCUUUCGUUUAGCUGUGACAUUCUUAGUACCUUCCCCACAGCUGAAGAGCUCUAUGUAGCUUGAACGCCUCUCUCACCAAGAACUUGGUCCAAUAAAAGAUGAUAUCUUUCCCCCUUUGUCUCAACUGUACAAAUAUUUCAUACGUAUCAAAGGGUGGUUCUCUCUGCCCAAUUUUUCAGAAUGCUACACUGAACUACAAAACUGUAAUGCCAUGUAUACAGGACUGUACUGUAAUGAUAUCUUAUGUUUUGCUUUGUUCUGGCCCAAAGUUUACACGUUUAAAAAACUGAACUGAUAAUCAUUGGAGACAAACCCUUUGA